This 693-nucleotide ribosomal RNA is filed under the name Triticum aestivum (bread wheat). RNAcentral describes it as "partial small subunit ribosomal RNA". The record is from RNAcentral. Lineage: Eukaryota; Viridiplantae; Streptophyta; Magnoliopsida; Poales; Poaceae.
AUGGUUGGAGCAAGCUUAAAGCUGAUGUGCUUUCUUUUUGGGAAACACGGAGUUAAAAUACUAGAUUUCAGCGAGUUCUAUGUGGAUUUCAUUAAUUCUCGUGCAGAGGAUGAGACUACAGUGGAGCAUCAUUAUCGGUGUGAUGUUUUCAUGGUUGCCGUUGAUCAACAAGCACAUGAGUUGAAUUGCAGAUUCAACAAACAAGCAAUAGAGCUUCUCAUUUUGUCCACUUCGUUGGAUCCUAAGAAUGCAUUCACUUCAUUUAACAUUGAUAAUAUAUGUUCUCUAGCUUCAAAAUUCUAUCCUGCUGAUUUUGAAGAACAAGAAAGAAAUAAUCUGAGAUGUCAGUUACGGCAUUAUGAGAAUGAUAUACUCACAAACCCGAAGUUUCAGAAUUUGACAACGAUAUCUGAACUUUGUCAACAGCUUGCAGCAACUGGGAAAUCAGAUGAAUACCACUUGAUUGACAGAUUGAUUCGACUUGUACUUACUUUACCGGUUUCAACUGCAACGACACAACGUGCAUUUUCUGCAAUGAAACUUGUGAAGACAAGGCUUCGGAAUAAAAUGGAAGAUGAAUUACUAAGGGAUUGCUUCGUAAUUUAUAUUGAAAAGGAGAUUGCAGUUGGAAUAUCAAUAGAUGCAGUUAUAUAUGAGUUCGAUGAAUCACCACGUCGAGUGCAAUUUAGUUGA